GCCGGGGUGGCGGAAUGGUAGACGCAACGGACUUAAAAUCCGUUGGGCAAUAUGCCCGUGCGGGUUCGAGUCCCGCCCUCGGUA
Molecule: transfer RNA, 84 nt
Filed under: Bacteroidota bacterium
Lineage: Bacteria; Pseudomonadati; Bacteroidota
Description: Bacteroidetes bacterium tRNA-Leu
Rfam family: tRNA
About the family: Transfer RNA (tRNA) molecules are approximately 80 nucleotides in length.
Source: RNAcentral